GGAACUUAGGUUAAUAAUUUUGAACCAAGGGCCUUCAAAGUCUUAGAUAUGCGAGCUARCRUCUCAUAGUUCCUGAAGACCU
Molecule: transfer RNA, 82 nt
Filed under: Uroplatus henkeli
Lineage: Eukaryota; Metazoa; Chordata; Lepidosauria; Squamata; Gekkonidae
Description: tRNA-Trp
Source: RNAcentral